GUCUUACCAGGCAAGGUUAGAUCUGGCUAUUUUGUCUAAUACUGUCUGGUAAUGCCGU
Molecule: microRNA precursor, 58 nt
Filed under: Microcaecilia unicolor
Lineage: Eukaryota; Metazoa; Chordata; Amphibia; Gymnophiona; Siphonopidae
Description: Mun-Mir-8-P3a_pre stem-loop
Source: RNAcentral